UACGUAGGCAGCGAGCGUUGUUCGGAGUUACUGGGCGUAAAGGGUGUGUAGGCGGUUGUUUAAGUUUGGUGUGAAAUCUCCCGGCUCAACUGGGCGGGUGCGCCGAAUACUGAAUGACUUGGAGUGCGGGAGAGGAGAGUGGAAUUCCUGGUGUAGCGGUGAAAUGCGUAGAUAUCAGGAGGAACACCGGUGGUGUAGACGGCUCUCUGGACCGUAACUGACGCUGAGACACGAAAGCGUGGGUAGCAAACAGG
This 254-nucleotide ribosomal RNA is filed under the name uncultured bacterium. Its description in RNAcentral is "partial 16S ribosomal RNA". It matches the Rfam family "Bacterial small subunit ribosomal RNA", at positions 524 to 776 of the family's 1533-position model. The record is from RNAcentral.